Molecule: ribosomal RNA, 282 nt
Filed under: Escherichia coli
Lineage: Bacteria; Pseudomonadati; Pseudomonadota; Gammaproteobacteria; Enterobacterales; Enterobacteriaceae
Description: partial 23S ribosomal RNA
Rfam family: Bacterial large subunit ribosomal RNA
Source: RNAcentral
CUGGAGGUAUCAGAAGUGCGAAUGCUGACAUAAGUAACGAUAAAGCGGGUGAAAAGCCCGCUCGCCGGAAGACCAAGGGUUCCUGUCCAACGUUAAUCGGGGCAGGGUGAGUCGACCCCUAAGGCGAGGCCGAAAGGCGUAGUCGAUGGGAAACAGGUUAAUAUUCCUGUACUUGGUGUUACUGCGAAGGGGGGACGGAGAAGGCUAUGUUGGCCGGGCGACGGUUGUCCCGGUUUAAGCGUGUAGGCUGGUUUUCCAGGCAAAUCCGGAAAAUCAAGGCUG